UUUAUAUAGUUUAAAAAAACAUUACAUUUUCAUUGUAAAAUUAAAUUAUAUUUUGUAA
Molecule: transfer RNA, 58 nt
Filed under: Dilophotes sp. B LB-2014
Lineage: Eukaryota; Metazoa; Arthropoda; Insecta; Coleoptera; Lycidae
Description: tRNA-Glu
Source: RNAcentral